UACGGGGGGAGCAAGCGUUGUUCGGAUUUACUGGGCGUAAAGGGCGCGCAGGCGGCUCAUUUUGUCAGGCGUGAAAGCCCCGGGCUUAACCUGGGAACUGCGUUUGAUACGGAUGGGCUAGAGUUCGGGAGAGGAGAGUGGAAUUCCCAGUGUAGAGGUGAAAUUCGUAGAUAUUGGGAAGAACACCGGUGGCGAAGGCGGCUCUCUGGACCGAGACUGACGCUGAGGCGCGAAAGCGUGGGGAGCAACAGG
Molecule: ribosomal RNA, 252 nt
Filed under: uncultured bacterium
Lineage: Bacteria
Description: partial 16S ribosomal RNA
Rfam family: Bacterial small subunit ribosomal RNA
Source: RNAcentral